Long non-coding RNA from Clupea harengus (Atlantic herring), 327 nucleotides. RefSeq lists it as uncharacterized. NCBI's taxonomy places the organism in Eukaryota, Metazoa, Chordata, Actinopteri, Clupeiformes, Clupeidae. The record is from RefSeq and is a predicted model, not a curated record. The transcript is spliced from 3 exons.
UAGCUCUGCAGACUCGAGAAUUAUCUGUUAAAAAAGAUGAUCUACAACGGCAUGUUCAAGAAUGCAAAGCUAAUAUUCAACAGAAGAAGACCCACAUCGAAGAGAGCAAGAAGAAUAUUGACAAACUUGACGAGCAGAUUACACAGAAACAGAAGACAGUUCAGCAUUACAAAGAGAACACUAAGGGCCUGAAAAGGACUCAUGGCUUGUUACUGCAGUAUGAAAAAGUCCUGGAGAGCGAACUGGAGCGCAGACAAGAGAACUGCAAUCGGGACACGUGAGUCCGUUAAAAGAUCAUCAUGCAUGAAAUCCCCAAUGUGUAAAAAG